Long non-coding RNA from Ictalurus punctatus (channel catfish), 5140 nucleotides. NCBI's taxonomy places the organism in Eukaryota, Metazoa, Chordata, Actinopteri, Siluriformes, Ictaluridae. The record is from Ensembl.
AAAACUCUACAGUGACUGAAGGUGUAAACGCAGAAGGGGUCAGAAGAGUGAAUUGUUAUGAAUUUAUUAUCAGUGUUUAUUUACUGCAGAUUUACAGCUAAAACUCUUGUAGUAAUCAUCAUCACCUCACUGUAGCAAGACCAACAGCACACACAACCCUCUGCAGCUGUCAGGUGUGUGUGUGUGUAUUGUAUGUGUGUGUAUUGUAUGUGUGUGUAUUGUUUGUGUGUGUAUUGUAUGUGUGUGUAUUGUUUGUGUGUGUAUUGUUUGUGUGUGUAUUGUAUGUGUGGUGUAUUGUUUUGUGUGUGUAUUGUAUGUGUGUGUAUUGUAUGUGUGUGUAUUGUUGUGUGUGUAUUGUAUGUGUGUGUAUUGUUUGUGUGUGUAUUGUUUGUGUGUGUAUUGUAUGUGUGUGUAUUGUUUGUGUGGUAUUGUAUGUGUGUGUAUUGUAUGUGUGUGUAUUGUUUGUGUGUGUACUGUAUGUGUGUGUGUGUGUGUGUGUGCAGUAUGUGUGUGUGUUGUGUGUGUGUGUGUGUACUGUAUGUAUGUGUAUUGUUUGUGUGUGUACAGUAUGUGUGUGUGUGUGUGCAGUAUGUGUGUGUGUGUGUAUGUGUACUGUAUGUAUGUGUAUUGUUUGUGUGUGUACAGUAUGUGUGUGUGUGUGUGCAGUAUGUGUGUGUGUGUGUGUGUGUGUGUGUGUGUGUACUGUGUGUGAAUAUUCACAGUUGCUGAAAGUAAACUGCAGAAUCAUAAACGGGGAAAAACCCGUCUAAGGCGAGCCAAAAGAAGAAGAAGAAGAAGAAUAAGAAGAAGAAGAGAAGGCGCCGCACCACGCUGCCUGUUGCUUUAAUGUUUUAUGGCGUUACAUCAGCAGCAUGUUGUAUAACUGGCCCAGUUCAUAAAGAAACUCUCGUCUAACUACACACAACAGGAAGCAGCGAAUGACGCGAUUUCAACACUCGCUAUAAGAUGAUUAGAGCCUCGUGGAAAUGAUUGACCUUGGCUGAGACCACUUUUCAUUUUUUUAAUUUGCUGAAAUCUCCCGAGCGCAAGUGUAACGCACAGAAGCAGGUUCAUACCUGUGUGUGUGUGUGUGUGUGUGUGUGUGUGUGUGUGUACACCAUAAGCAGUGUGUUUCAGCUGGAAGCAGAAGAAGCUGUACAGACAGUGCCGCUUGCUCGUUGGGCAACGUGAAGUUUUAAGCGCUCGGCUGAACAAAGGCGUUGUUUUUGCUCGUAAUCCCGAUGAAUAAUUCUCAAUCUGCCGUCGAAAAAUAACCAGAAAAAAGAAUAAAACCACGGACGGCCCGAAAAGAAACCUGACCUUCUGCGAUUAAUGGCGGCGCUGCGGAUGACGUGUUAGGACAAAGCCUCACAGAGACACACCGUAUGCUUAUUAUUUCCUUUAUCGAAUGAGUUAAUUGCGGGUCUGAGAGGAAGAAAAGGAAAUAAAAAUAAAAUUAAAAAAACUCGAAUAGUUUAAUCAUACGUUUAGGCUUUUAUACCCUGGCCUCGUUAGAGGAGCUGUGUAGCAUAAAUUACACAUCACUGGCUCGAUAAUUGGUUAUGAUUUAGCGCAAUAUGGAAGCAAAAUGGACGCUUCAGUUGGGCGAAUUUAUUUUGGUCAGCUCUUCAAAUAAAAGCGUUAUAAAUAAAAUGUGAGCUCGGCAUCUAUUAUUUAACGAGCAUGUGUGUAUAUACUGUAUAAUAAACUGAUCUAGUGAUCAUACAGAUGUUGUUAGAGACCCUGGGCAUUCUCUUUACUCUCUGUCCUUUUUUUGUUUUGUUUUUUUUUUACAAUAAAAUUGUAUUAUGGGAGAAUCACGAGGCCGACGUUCGCGAGCUGAACGAACUGAGUUGCGAAAACUUUAUUGGGAAGGAGCAGGAGGAGGAAGAGGAGCAGGAGGAGCAGGAGGAGUUGGAAGAGGAGGAAGAGGAGGAUGAGGAGGAAGAGCAGGAACAGGAGGAAGAGGAGCAGGACGAGGACCAGGAAGAUUAAGAGGAGCAGGAAGAGGAGCAGGAGGAGGAAGAGGAGGAAGAGGAGCAGGAGGAGGACCAGGAAGAUUAAGAGGAGCAGGAAGAGGAGCAGGAGGAGGAAGAGGAGGAAGAGGAGCAGGAGGAGGAGCAGGAGGAGGAAGAGGAGGAACGUUUAGGAGGUCGGCGUGCUUUUAAACCCGUACGAGGCGACGAAACCUUACAGAAACUGUGAUAAACAAUGUCCAUUCCCAGAAUUCCUUUCUAAAUAUACUUAUGAUGGAAGGAGUGAGUGUGCCGAAGUGAAGGAGAUGAAAGCGAGGCUGUAGUACACGCUCGUUAAUAGUAUAUAAACAUCGGCCCAUAUGCUGGGUGUUCACGCAGCAGCUGCCAUCGUCAGUCACUGAAAAAACAGAACGAGGACGAGAGAGAGAGAGAGACAGAGAGAGAGAGAGAGGGAGAGAGAGAGAGAGAGGGAGGGAGGGAGGGAGAAAACGAGAGAGGGAGGGAGACAGAGAGAGAGAAAGAGGGAGGGAGGGAGGGAGAGGGGGAAUGGCACGUCUCUGCCAAAUUGUCUUGGCAACACCAUUUGUCCUGGCAACAGGUCGGUGCACCUCUCUCACUCCCUCGCUCUGCGAAAGACAACAAAAUGUCUCCUCUCUCCUGCAGCUGGCUGGAUACACACACUCGAUCCGGCCUGGCUCCCUUAAACCGGCCCUCGUCUCUGUCUCUCUCUCUCUCACACACACACACACACACACACACACUCAUAAACCAACCUGCGUCCAUAUAAUACACGCUAAAGGACAUCUGGGCCACUUCGAUAUUAAAGAUCAGGAAUCGGAAGAUAUCGAUCAAAUGAAAAGCAAAAUCUGGCAAACGAAAGAGAGAGAGAGAGAGAGACAGAGAGACCGAGAAGCAGAAAGGCAGGCGGAGAGAGAGAGACAGAGAGAGAGAGAGAGAGAGACCGAAAAACAGGAAGGGAGACAGAGAGAGCGAGAGGGAGAGAGAGAGAGAGUGAGAGUAAUAAACCUAAAAUCUGACCAGCCAGAAUCAGAUCACUCUUUUAUGAGACAACACACGAAAAAGAGAAAAGAAAGCCCAUUGGCUCAGUGUGAAGGAGGGAAGCCACACUUUUUGCUUUCUUUUUUAAUUAUUAAACAUUUCGCCUGAAAGAGUUAACCCGCUAGAGUAAAUACGAGAAAGAAACACGCCGCCACGCUGAGCGUUAUGAACCUGUCUACCGACGUAUUAGCCUUAAAUAUCAAGCGAGUAAUAAUUCAGCGUUGUUGUGAAUGGUUACUAAAUUAUCUGCUUUAUGGUCGGAAACUCUGCGUGGUGAAGUGUGUGAAAAGGCAGGGUCCAAACUACUCCAAGCCACUUCCCACCGAGCACGGCUCGCUUCCGUCGGCUGGAGGAGCGCACGAGCUGGUACCUGCCGCUGAGUGCAGCCCGGCGCCGGGACGCUCCCGAGCCGGCGUCCGCGGCAGCGCCGGGCGCGGUAACGACCUGUUAACGAGCGCCUGCGCUGGAUCUUCCUUUGCUCUUUGUUUUUCUUUCUUGUUUCUUACAUUUUUCCCUCCCUUUUCUUGUAUUGUGCGCCAGUGAAUUCUUCCGAGACGAGUUGCACGCUGCCCUCUUCUCCAAAAUGGAGGACAGUGUGUGUCUUUGUGCCGAGCGCGAGCGCAGCUCCCUCCUCUAACCGACCCAGGCCCCGUUUCUCUCUCACACACACACACACACACACACACACACACACAGAGAGAGAGAGAGAGAGAGAGAGGCUGUAAACAAAUCAGAAGUAAACUUGGCACUGCUGCCAGAGAGAAUGCUUCGCCUACCUCUGUUUUAUUUUUUCAUCUCUCUUCUACAAACCACUUCCAGAUAUUUUUCCCUCCAGAAACUCACAGCGAUCCUCACGUGGACUCUGCCGAGCGCCAUAUGGGUGCCGGGGUUAGCUGAGGACACGCAUGCACCUUGGCAAAUGCACAACUUCCCUAUUAGAAUCCAAGAUACAUUUCUCACGCGGGGUGAAACGCCUGCCUGCUCGCGUAUGGAUUUAAAGGGCCGACGCGCUGCCUGCGCACCCUGUCUCUUUGCCUAAACAAAAUAUGUUUGGUAAAGAAAUUUGCUUAUUAACCAUCAACUGCCUGACAGGUUUUUAUCUAUGUGUUCAUGCAAAAAUACUGCUGGCAGCUUGUCCGUGCCAUCUGUGUGCUGUUUCAAUGGAAACGCGACUCACGGCCCAGUGUUUAGGCCAAACACGGCGCGGCUGUCCUGUUUAUAUUCAACAAUGUACGCUGCACUUACACACUUUAUAGAGCCGGCUUUGUGCCGGGAGAUCUCCUCGCUCAGAAACUUCCUUCAGGAAUUCUGCGUGAGUGAAAAACACGGCCAGCUGUGUGCUUGUACGUUUUAUUCACCACCUUAAAUUUACAGCGUUUGAGAUUCAGCUGAAACCUCGUGAAGAUUCGGAUUCAGUACGUGAUCCGUUCAUUUAAGGCGCUUCACGUCAGGUUUUUAGGUUUACCAACAUUUUCAUGAUACUGUAUUUUUUAUUUUAAUGAUGUAACCACCGGCGACAGAAUUCUUUCCCCCCAGCUUGGUAGAAACGACCUGAUCUCGCACACCGAGUUUUUUUUUUUAAUCCUGUUAGGUCAUGUCCCGUGUAUCAUUUAAAAGCACUGCAAGAUCACUUAUAGAAAUGAAAUGUUUGCAUUACUGAAACCAGUUCCUGGUUUUCUUUUUCACUACGCCACCGAGCAGGAUGAUUAAUAUCAAACCGGUCAUAGUGUGUCUUUAUCCUGCUCUCACCACAACCGCACCAGAUAUCACCGAGCCCAAACACGAAGCCUCGCUCCUUUCGCUCGUCGCGUUAUAGAACGGGACAGGAGUCAGGAGUUUUACGCCGUAUGUGCUUCGCGAGCUACAGAGAGUUUACAGACUUUUUAAAUUCUCGUAACAGAAUUACGAACGUUUACGGUCAGUGUAGCAGCUCGUCUCCUUCUCCCAAACAAAUGAAUUAUUAUGUGUAUAUGAUGUACAUGUUGUGUAUAUUGUGUAUAUUCUGUACACGGUGUAUAUUGUGUAUAUCCUGUAUAUUGUAUAUAUCCUGUAAUAUUGUGUAUAUGGUGAUAUUGUGUAUUUGGUGUGUAUUGUAUAUAUAUAUA